CCUAUAGCGGGCUGCCUACCCCAGAUAUCUACUGUAAGCAAAUUUCAUUCGAGCCUCUACUGUAAACAAAUUUCUUCCGAACUUCUAUUACAGGUAGACUUCAGCCGAGCUUCUUCGUAGCCGGAUCCCAGACGAGCUUCUAUCAUGGGGCAGGAUCCACCGGCCAGGUCGUUACUCCGAACUCCCACGAUAAUCGAUCUUCGACCAAGCUCCUACAAUAAGCGGCCUCCUUUCGGCCUCCCACAAGAACCGGACUCCGUCCGAGCUUCCAUAGCAG
RNAcentral lists this long non-coding RNA (277 nucleotides) under Elaeis guineensis (African oil palm). RNAcentral's name for it is "long non-coding RNA (EGUI_LNC070834)". The record is from RNAcentral. Lineage: Eukaryota; Viridiplantae; Streptophyta; Magnoliopsida; Arecales; Arecaceae.